RNAcentral lists this transfer RNA (69 nucleotides) under Ictidomys tridecemlineatus (thirteen-lined ground squirrel). Its description in RNAcentral is "Spermophilus tridecemlineatus (thirteen-lined ground squirrel) tRNA". It matches the Rfam family "tRNA". Rfam says of the family: Transfer RNA (tRNA) molecules are approximately 80 nucleotides in length. Their secondary structure includes four short double-helical elements and three loops (D, anti-codon, and T loops). Further hydrogen bonds mediate the characteristic L-shaped molecular structure. tRNAs have two regions of fundamental functional importance: the anti-codon, which is responsible for specific mRNA codon recognition, and the 3' end, to which the tRNAs corresponding amino acid is attached (by aminoacyl-tRNA synthetases). tRNAs cope with the degeneracy of the genetic code in two manners: having more than one tRNA (with a specific anti-codon) for a particular amino acid; and 'wobble' base-pairing, i.e. permitting non-standard base-pairing at the 3rd anti-codon position. The record is from Rfam by way of RNAcentral. Lineage: Eukaryota; Metazoa; Chordata; Mammalia; Rodentia; Sciuridae.
GGGGUUGUGGCUCAGCGGUAGAGCACUUGCCUAGCAUGCAUGAAGCUCUUGGUUCAAUCUCCAGCACCA